AUAUUCAAUAAAGCCUUGUUGAAUUGAAUCGCAUCCAAUUGAAGUCCCUUGAUUCUACCCAGCAUCGGACUCACUGGGAACCACAAAAUCCCACCAGUUUCUUGGUGCAGUGAGCAGGGUGAGAAAUAUCUUUCCGGAUCACAGCCUACAAUCAAAUUAGAGGAUGGCCAAACGCACAUGAAAGGCUUAGAAGUGAUCCUGCAGCACUUGGCAGACAGUGGGGAAAGAAAUCUCCGGCAGUCCAGGUGGCAAGAUGGACUCGAUGGGAAACGAGCUUGCUAAUGCCUUCAGUACGUCUGCAACGAGCGUCAUCGCUAAACCCUGCCACCCUCACGCCUAGCCCAGAUGAGGGACACCCGCAUCAGUGUUGCCUUAAGGAAGAGCCCAUGGACCUUCCAUUGGUCAAAGAAACUGCAAUACCUGGUGCCCCUUGCCUAUACGUGGAUGGUUCUUCCUCCUACAUGGAUGGCAAGUGACACACAGGAUGGGCCGUUUGUACGCAAGAUGGGCAGCUGGUGACACCUGGCA
Molecule: long non-coding RNA, 528 nt
Organism: Mauremys reevesii (Reeves's turtle)
Lineage: Eukaryota; Metazoa; Chordata; Testudines; Geoemydidae
Exons: 3
Source: RefSeq, a predicted model, not a curated record